Molecule: ribosomal RNA, 253 nt
Filed under: uncultured bacterium
Lineage: Bacteria
Description: partial 16S ribosomal RNA
Rfam family: Bacterial small subunit ribosomal RNA
Source: RNAcentral
GACGUAGGGGGCGAGCGUUGUCCGGAUUUAUUGGGCGUAAAGCGUGCGUAGGCGGCUGCGCAAGUCGGUUGUGAAACCCCGGGGCUCAACCCCGGAACUGCAUCCGAUACUGCGUGGCUAGAGGUAGGUAGGGGAGAUCGGAAUUCCCGGUGUAGUGGUGAAAUGCGUAGAUAUCGGGAGGAAUACCAGUGGCGAAGGCGGCCUUCUGGGCCGUUCCUGACGCUCAGACGCGAAAGCUAGGGGAGCAAACGGG